Gorilla gorilla gorilla (western lowland gorilla) is the source of this 315-nucleotide long non-coding RNA. RefSeq lists it as uncharacterized. The transcript has 3 exons. Lineage: Eukaryota; Metazoa; Chordata; Mammalia; Primates; Hominidae. The record is from RefSeq and is a predicted model, not a curated record.
AAUGAAACAAUGAAUAAGUAGACAUUUUGCUCUCGUUUUGUUAUUUUUUACUUUAUUUUCCAAAUAUGUUUAGGUUAAAGAAAAGAACAUGGGAUUUAGAGUCAAAUAGGCAGGUGUUUUGAUUCUACCCUUGCUAACCCUGUGACCUUUGAAGGCUAAACCCCAAGUGAAGCGACCAGCGAUAAAUACUCAGGUGACUCUAAUGGAAGCCAAAGCAAUGCCAUAUGACAAAGGCAUUGGAUGUUCAUUCGUUUUCCAAGAAAGGGGUAAAAGGUUGAACAAAGAGGUGAAGAAAGAAACCAUGUAAAUAUUCGG